RNAcentral lists this ribosomal RNA (499 nucleotides) under uncultured bacterium. Its description in RNAcentral is "bacterial SSU rRNA". It matches the Rfam family "Bacterial small subunit ribosomal RNA", at positions 36 to 518 of the family's 1533-position model. The record is from RNAcentral.
CUGGCGGCGUGCCUAACACAUGCAAGUCGAACGAAGCGUCCCGCCCGACGAAGUGGAGUGCUUGCACAAAGCAGAAUCAAUUGGGACGACUGAGUGGCGGACGGGUGAGUAACGCGUGGGUAACCUGCCUUAUACAGGGGGAUAACAGAUAGAAAUGACUGCUAAUACCGCAUAAGCGCACAGUACCGCAUGGUACAGUGUGAAAAACUCCGGUGGUAUAAGAUGGACCCGCGUCUGAUUAGCCAGUUGGUGAGGUAACGGCUCACCAAAGCGACGAUCAGUAGCCGGCCUGAGAGGGUGAACGGCCACAUUGGGACUGAGACACGGCCCAAACUCCUACGGGAGGCAGCAGUGGGGGAUAUUGCACAAUGGGGGAAACCCUGAUGCAAGCGACGCCGCGUGAGUGAUGAAGUAUUUCGGUAUGUAAAGCUCUAUCAGCGGGGAAGAAAAUGACGGUACCUGACUAAGAAGCCCCGGCUAACUACGUGCCAGCAGCCGC